This 450-nucleotide ribosomal RNA is filed under the name uncultured bacterium. RNAcentral describes it as "partial 16S ribosomal RNA". It matches the Rfam family "Bacterial small subunit ribosomal RNA", at positions 338 to 795 of the family's 1533-position model. The record is from RNAcentral.
CCUACGGGAGGCUGCAGUGGGGAAUAUUGCGCAAUGGGCGAAAGCCUGACGCGGCGACGCCGCGUGGGUGAUGAAGGCCUUCGGGUUGUAAAGCCCUGUCGGGUGGAACGAACGAUCUGGCGGCGAAUAACCGCCGGGUGUGACGGUACCACCGAAGGAAGCCCCGGCUAACUACGUGCCAGCAGCCGCGGUAAGACGGAGGGGGUGAGUGUGGGUCGGAUGUACUGGGCGGAAAGGGUGCGUAGGCGGCGAAAUCCUUCGGCUUAACCGAGGUCCCGCAUCCGAUACUGUCUGGCUCGAGUCUAGGAGAGGAAAGCGGAAUUCCCAGUGUAGCGGUGAAAUGCGUAGAUAUUGGGAGGAACACCGGUGGCGAAGGCGGCUUUCCGGACUAGUACUGACGCUGAGGCGCGAAAGCUAGGGGAGCGAACGGGAUUAGAUACCCCUGUAGUC